RNAcentral lists this ribosomal RNA (468 nucleotides) under uncultured bacterium. RNAcentral describes it as "partial 16S ribosomal RNA". It matches the Rfam family "Bacterial small subunit ribosomal RNA", at positions 28 to 507 of the family's 1533-position model. The record is from RNAcentral.
GACGAACGCUGGCGGCGUGCUUAACACAUGCAAGUCGAACGGAAAGGCCCUGCUUUUGUGGGGUGCUCGAGUGGCGAAAGGGUGAGUAACACGUGCGUAACCUGCCCUUGACUUUGGGAUAACUUCAGGAAACUGGGGCUAAUACCGAAUAGGAACUCCUGCUGAAUGGUGGGGGUUGGAAAGUUUCGGCGGUUGGGGAUGGACUAGCGGCUUAUCAGCUUGUUGGUGGAGUAGUGGCUUACCCAGGAUGUGACGGGUAGCCGGCCUGAGAGGGUGAACGGGCACAAUGGUACUGAGAGACGGCCCAGUCUGCUACUGGAGGCAGCAGUGGCGAAUAUGACACAGUGAGCGGAAGCCUGAGACAGCAACUUCGCGUUCGUAAUGACGUCUUGCGAGUUGUAAACCGCUUUCGCCUGUGACGAAGCGUGAGUGACGGUAAUGGGUAAAGAAGCACCGGCUAACUACGUG